UGGGGGAUAUUGCACAAUGGAGGAAACUCUGAUGCAGCAACGCCGCGUGAGGGAAGAAGGUCUUCGGAUUGUAAACCUCAGUAGUCAGGGACGAAAGAAAUGACGGUACCUGAAGAGUAAGCUCCGGCUAACUACGUGCCAGCAGCCGCGGUAAUACGUAGGGAGCGAGCGUUGUCCGGAUUUACUGGGUGUAAAGGGUGCGUAGGCGGGAUAGCAAGUCAGACGUGAAAUACCGAGGCUUAACUUCGGGGCUGCGUUUGAAACUGUUAUUCUUGAGUGAAGUAGAGNCAGGCGGAAUUCCUAGUGUAGCGGUGAAAUGCGUAGAUAUUAGGAGGAACACCAGUGGCGAAGGCGGCCUGCUGGGCUUUAACUGACGCUGAGGCACGAAAGCAUGGGGAGCAAACA
Molecule: ribosomal RNA, 405 nt
Filed under: uncultured bacterium
Lineage: Bacteria
Description: bacterial SSU rRNA
Rfam family: Bacterial small subunit ribosomal RNA
Source: RNAcentral